Molecule: non-coding RNA, 24 nt
Filed under: Drosophila erecta
Lineage: Eukaryota; Metazoa; Arthropoda; Insecta; Diptera; Drosophilidae
Also listed under: 4 other names
Source: RNAcentral
UGAACACAGCUGGUGGUAUCCAGA